Molecule: ribosomal RNA, 200 nt
Filed under: uncultured bacterium
Lineage: Bacteria
Description: partial 16S ribosomal RNA
Rfam family: Bacterial small subunit ribosomal RNA
Source: RNAcentral
AGAGUUUGAUCCUGGCUCAGAAUCAACGCUGGCGGCGUGCCUAAUACAUGCAAGUCGAGCGGAGUUGAUGAAGUGCUUGCACUUCUGAGACUUAGCGGCGGACGGGUGAGUAACACGUAGGUAACCUGCCCAUAAGACUGGGAUAACCCACGGAAACGUGAGCUAAUACCAGAUAGGCGUUUUCCUCGCAUGGGGAGAAC